RNAcentral lists this ribosomal RNA (1118 nucleotides) under human gut metagenome. RNAcentral describes it as "bacterial SSU rRNA". It matches the Rfam family "Bacterial small subunit ribosomal RNA", at positions 88 to 1206 of the family's 1533-position model. The record is from RNAcentral.
AUGGCGACCGGCGCACGGGUGAGUAACGCGUAUCCAACCUGCCCUUUACUCGGGGAUAGCCUUCUGAAAGGAAGUUUAAUACCCGAUGAAUUCGUUUAGUCGCAUGGCUUGAUGAAGAAAGAUUUAUCAGUAAAGGAUGGGGAUGCGUCCCAUUAGCUUGUUGGCGGGGUAACGGCCCACCAAGGCGACGAUGGGUAGGGGUUCUGAGAGGAAGGUCCCCCACAUUGGAACUGAGACACGGUCCAAACUCCUACGGGAGGCAGCAGUGAGGAAUAUUGGUCAAUGGGCGCGAGCCUGAACCAGCCAAGUAGCGUGGAGGACGACGGCCCUACGGGUUGUAAACUCCUUUUAUAAGGGGAUAAAGUUGGCCAUGUAUGGCCAUUUGCAGGUACCUUAUGAAUAAGCAUCGGCUAAUUCCGUGCCAGCAGCCGCGGUAAUACGGAAGAUGCGAGCGUUAUCCGGAUUUAUUGGGUUUAAAGGGAGCGUAGACGGGCAGUCAAGUCAGCGGUCAAAUGGCGCGGCUCAACCGUAACGUUCCGCCGUUGAAACUGGCAGCCUUGAGUAUGCACAGGGUACAUGGAAUUCGUGGUGUAGCGGUGAAAUGCUUAGAUAUCACGAGGAACUCCGAUCGCGCAGGCAUUGUACCGGGGCAUUACUGACGCUGAGGCUCGAAGGUGCGGGUAUCAAACAGGAUUAGAUACCCUGGUAGUCCGCACAGUAAACGAUGAAUGCCCGCUGUCGGCGACAUAGUGUCGGCGGCCAAGCGAAAGCGUUAAGCAUUCCACCUGGGGAGUACGCCGGCAACGGUGAAACUCAAAGGAAUUGACGGGGGCCCGCACAAGCGGAGGAACAUGUGGUUUAAUUCGAUGAUACGCGAGGAACCUUACCCGGGCUUGAAUCGCAGGUGCAUGGGCCGGAGACGGCCCUUUCCUUCGGGACUCCUGCGAAGGUGCUGCAUGGUUGUCGUCAGCUCGUGCCGUGAGGUGUCGGCUUAAGUGCCAUAACGAGCGCAACCCCCCUCCCCAGUUGCCACCGGGUAAUGCCGGGCACUUUGGGGACACUGCCACCGCAAGGUGCGAGGAAGGUGGGGAUGACGUCAAAUCAGCACGGCCCUUACG